GAUGAACGCUGGCGGCGUGCUUAACACAUGCAAGUCGAACGAAGCACUGUUUCACUUUCGGGUGAAACAGUGACUUAGUGGCGGACGGGUGAGUAACGCGUGGGUAACCUGCCUCAUACAGGGGGAUAACAGUUGGAAACGACUGCUAAAACCGCAUAAUAUGCGAGAGCCGCAUGGCUUUUGCAUCAAAUAUUUAUAGGUAUGAGAUGGGCCCGCGUCUGAUUAGCUAGUUGGUGAGGUAAUGGCUCACCAAGGCGACGAUCAGUAGCCGACUUGAGAGAGUGAUCGGCCACAUUGGGACUGAUACACGGCCCAAACUCCUACGGUGGCUG
This 332-nucleotide ribosomal RNA is filed under the name uncultured Bacillota bacterium. RNAcentral describes it as "bacterial SSU rRNA". It matches the Rfam family "Bacterial small subunit ribosomal RNA", at positions 28 to 351 of the family's 1533-position model. Lineage: Bacteria; Bacillati; Bacillota. The record is from RNAcentral.